UUUAAAAACCAACCCGUUACAAAAAGAAAAGGGCGACAUGUUUUAGCUGAGGGUUAACAAAACCCAAAAGCUUACUUUAUAACAGCAGUCCCCCAAGUCCUAACUUUAGCAACUUGAAAAACUUGCUCAGGUUUGCUUCGGCCCCACCCUCUCUGGAGAACAGAAAUUUUGAUUAGCGAAAGACUUCGUCAAUCAGUCGCAUCUUUGGAGACAAGCACUCGUCGGUCUCAACUUGUAAGGGCAUUGGGUCGCUAGCAUGGGAAUAUUGGCAUCCAUCUCUGUAUAGGCACUAGCAAUGAAGGAAGGAAUCUCUCUGCGGAUGAAGGCCUUCAUUGCUCAAACACCCCCCGGGCGGCCCAAGACUGCCUGCUGGCAAUUCACAAAGAGUGACCUCGUUGGUCCGGUCCGAGUGAAAUCAGACAGGUCAGAGGACAGACAGGGUGCUCCUCAGCUCAGAGGACAGGCAGCCUCACGCCUCCACGUCUAGUCGGAGUGAGAAGAAGGUUCAUCUGCCUUCCAUUGAGGACACAGCAAGCAAUACCAACCCAGAAGACCUCCCCGAAGUCAGCAGAUUAGAAUCGCUAACCAGGGCAGGUGCCUGGGUGAGAAACACAGGUCCAUACAGUAACUUUCAAUCAAGCAGGACUCACCUUCUUCUCUCUCAAAGCCUGGGUGAACUACCAAAUGACAACUCCCUGGACAGAGGUUCAACCAGAGAGUCUGAGCAGAACAAACCCAACACAGCCCCUCGAAGCCUGCAGAAGAGACCAGCUGGGAACUGCCUAUAGUACAUCACAUUACUGCAUGAGAAGGAGCAGUGUUUGCUGAUGCUCGGGGAUGAAAUUAACCGACUGUCUGUGUUUGAGUUCGAAGCGGCACGAAAGGAUGAGAUGAUCGCAUUUCUCCAGGAAAAAGUGGCUGGGCUGUCCAAUCAGCUGAGCCUGGCCAAGAAUGAGGAAGUCAUCACU
Long non-coding RNA from Polyodon spathula (Mississippi paddlefish), 968 nucleotides. RefSeq lists it as uncharacterized. The record is from RefSeq and is a predicted model, not a curated record. The transcript has 5 exons. Lineage: Eukaryota; Metazoa; Chordata; Actinopteri; Acipenseriformes; Polyodontidae.